RNAcentral lists this ribosomal RNA (210 nucleotides) under uncultured bacterium. RNAcentral's name for it is "partial 16S ribosomal RNA". It matches the Rfam family "Bacterial small subunit ribosomal RNA", at positions 127 to 334 of the family's 1533-position model. The record is from RNAcentral.
UACCCUCGGGUGGGGAAUAACUAGUCGAAAGAUUAGCUAAUACCGCAUAAUGCAGCGGCUCGACAUCGAGACAGUUGUUAAAGCAGAAAUGCGCCUGAGGAGGAGCCUGCGUCUGAUUAGCUAGUUGGUGAGGUAAUGGCUCACCAAGGCUGCGAUCAGUAGCUGGUCUGAGAGGACGGCCAGCCACAAUGGCACUGAAACACGGGCCAU